RNAcentral lists this long non-coding RNA (30921 nucleotides) under Lynx pardinus (Iberian lynx). The record is from RNAcentral. Lineage: Eukaryota; Metazoa; Chordata; Mammalia; Carnivora; Felidae.
UAUUUUGGGAUGGACCACAAUGUUGAUCAAACUGGAAAAGCUGUCAUCAUCAACAAAACCAGUAACACAAGAAUGUAAGGGAGGAAAGAGAUUGGAAGACUUUCCUGGGAUAGCCUCUAGCGUGGAAGAGGAAGGUGUAGGAUCAAGAUGUCUCUUUCUGGGGACGGGACAAUGUGGAGGGUUAUAUUAUCAAUUCCUACUCUUUGUGAGGAGUUAGAGAUAGAGUCUAGGAGGCACUUGUGUUUUGUGAAGGCUGGCCCCUGGCGUCUCUUCACCUUUAUUGAUAGGACAGGUAUAACUUUGGAGGAAGACAGCUUACAAAGAAUAGACCUUGAGGAUUUCACUGUGGCUUUGUGGAUGUGUGACUCCAGAAAUCCCUUGAGGGAGAGUUGUGAAAUUUUUAAGAGUGCUAUACUAGAAGGUCUGCUUCCUAACAAAAGGAUCUUUUUCCUUCCUUCUUUCUACAUUUCUCUCCCAAACCAGCCCUGAACAGAGAUUCUCAGAACAUAUAAAGGAUGAGAAGAAUACAGAAUUUCAACAGAGAUUCAUUCUCAAGAGAGAUGAUGCCAGUAUGGACCGAGAUGAUAACCAGGUGAAGAAUGGAAAGGGGUGGGGCCAUACAGAGAGAUUGCAGUAAGAGAAACUGGGAGGGGAGAAGAAUUUUUGUGGGAUAAAGAAAACUCGAAAUAUCUUAGUAUGGAGAAAUGUAUUGAGUUCUACUCAGUUGGCUGUGGCUUAAUUUUGAGGACUGACUACAUUUGUUGAGCUGAAUGCCGCCCUCUUAGCCCCAGAGAGACAUGGUGCUGAGUUUUGCUGGGUUUCCUCAUUUGGCCUGGAACUCCCUGGUUCUGCCACUGACUUCUAGCUCUAGGUCAUUUGGGGACAAAGCAAGGUUCCUCCCUGCUUCAGCCUUGAUUCAGCUGACGGCUUCAUUCUUUUUUUUCUUUAAUAGUUAGGAAUUUCUUUGGGAACCAUUAAAAGUUAUUUUAUCCCACUUCUGUCUUAUCCUAGCUCAGGGCUAGCCUUGGACUGGCAAAGUUGUGAUGUAAUUUACCCACUUAUAAAGAUGUUUCUGAUCCCUUUCUGCAAACUCCUUAUUUUCCCAACUCCUUCCACCAAGGUGAGUGAGUUGAUUUGACAUUUGAUGCUGGGAAUCUCAGGCAGUAUCCCCUUUUUAUUCUAUUCCCGUGGGAAUAAAACGUGAACAGUCUGCCCUAUCGCUUCACUCAUGGGCCUGGCUGUUGCCCUGACUUCUAGCCUACUCUUCAGAUAGUAAGUUUUUGUUUGGGGAUUAGUUUUCCCAGCCAUAUACAGCAUUUAGAUCCAGCCAGCCUCUGUUUGACCUCCAGAGGAGGUUAGGUGGAGAACCAGGAUUAAGAUUUGAAGAGCAUGGUUGGGUAGAGCCAAUAUGAGUCUUGCUAAUUGAUGAUAACUAUAAUAAUAUCUUACCUCUAGAGUCAAAAUUAAUUUUCUUGGGAUAUCGUAUGGUCUCGAGACCAGGACUUUUCCUGCUUGCUACUUGAGUAUUUGAGGGAGUCCUUUUGAGAAAAACGCCAUUAUCUUUUGUGGACAAACACGCUGGGUCUGAUUGAAAACAAUGAAAUAUUUAAAAAAAGACAAAAUUUUAAAAAUCAGAAAGAGCCUUUCCAUCCUGAUGCCCUUCUCUCCAUUUUCCCAAAACCCUUUUUCUGUGGAUCAGGAAUUAUUCAGGCCUAGAGGCACAUUGGGGCGGAGUAGAAUCUGUCCAUAUUACGAACUUUUCAUCUCUCAGCAUCAGGCUUGAUCCAUAGUAGGGUAGGCUCUCUGCAUUUUCGGUCCGUGAUAUUAAUAAUAAAUACAUUAAUUGUUAUUUCUUUUGAGUGUUUCCCUGACCUAGAUUCUGUUCUAAACACAUUCUGUGCAUUAUCUCUUUUAAUCCUCUCCACAACCCAGUAUACAUGGGGGUUAUUAGCUCCACUUUAAAUACAAGAAAACCGAGGCUAAGAGAUGUUAAGUUACUUGCCUGAAAUAACAUUUUUCAGAAGUGACAGAGCUGAAAUUCUGCCUGACCUCAAAGCCCAUUAUACUUUUUCUGCUCUGUCACUGGUUCACCAGUGCUAGGGGUACUUGAGGUCCUAUGUCUUCUUGAAAUGGGAUUUGUAAAAAGACAUUGAGUAGAAUUUAGGUUCUUAAUGCUAGUGAGAGUUAAAUCUAGUGAAAAGUUGAUACUCCUGAAGUUAUACCUACCCGUGGAGAUGGGUGAAGAUCAGGAAGAUCAGCGUAGAGCAGCAGCCUCCUUGGUUGCAUCAUCUGAAGCUUUCAGAGCCUCUGGAUUAAAGGUCAGAAUCUUUUAUAACUGAUGACAUUCAUUGGACGGGUUGUCUCCCCCGGAGCAUCUUGCCUUCAAGAGCAGUAUGGAAAAGGACACUGUGUAUGACACCCUACCCAGGACAGUGCUCACAACUCAACAGGCCAAGAGAGGAAAACGAUGAUGGAGAGUUGGGUGGUGGGCUAGCCAGAGGUGGUGAUCUGCCCAGUCAUCCCUCAUCACCUUCUCUACAUUUUUCAGAGAAUUUAAAGUUCUCUAACCUCCAUUUCCUUCUUUUCCCUUUCUAUCACUCUCUCUCUCUCUCUCUCUCCUUUCCACCGUGCCUUAUUUGUCCCUUCCUUUCCCUGUCCAUCCUUCUUUCUGUUCUGUUCUCCUUUUCUCUCUCUUCUCCUCUUUAUGUUGCUCUGUUCUCUUUCUUCUCUAUUUCUGUAAUUUCUGUCUCUUUCCCUCCCUCCAGUGGCUAUAGUUAAGAGGAGAAAAACUGCUUAAGCUUUGAGGUUAGCUUCACUUGGAUUUCAUUCCCAAGGCCCUCUUUGCUGAGCUGUGUGUGACUUGGAUCUUCAGGCCAUGGCAUUAGUGAGUAAAGAAGGGAUAAUAUCAGGUGCUAGUUCUGUAAAACUCUUCUCUACAUUCGGCUCUGCUAAAUACCUGUUUCUUCUCCCUUGCUAGCUUCCUACUAUCCCUUUCUUUCCCUCCAAAGCAAUAUUGUUUAUUCCCUGGGCUAUUCUCUUGAUCCUUAGUACCUGAUUACUAAAAGGAAGCAACCCAAUCCUUAUAAAUAGUUGUUGUUCUUGACACUCUGGGUGGGGGUGGGGAGACGAAGAGGUUCCAAUCAUCCAGAAAACCUGAUCUCCCAAACUGCAUGGUCAGAUGUACCCAGUGAAACCUGUCCAACACUGGAAAUUUUAUUUCUUUUUUUUUUUUCCAUUUUUUUGAUGGCAACUAUAAACUCUCCCGGUUUCUCUUCCUUGCUGGUGUGCAGUGAGCUUGCAGUACGAGGAGAACUUAACUAGCUUAAUUCUGCUCAUCGAUCUAGAUCAGAGUUCCAUUGCAGGAUGGAAGGAGGAGCAAGUCAAUAGAAGAGAGAGAGGAGGAAUAUCAAAGGGUCCGAGAGAGAAUAUUUGCCCGAGAGGUAAGUGUAGCUUCUGAGAGUUGUCAGCCCAUAGCUUUUAGCUCUUAAUCUUUGGAACUGUGAUUGGAAUGAACCCUCCGUAAAUGUUUUGUUGUUGUCUUUUUUUAACCAACAUCAGCCAGCUCCAGUUUGGUUCUCAAAUGUGGCUUACUGGGAAACUGCAGAUUUUUAUUUGUAUUAUUUUUCAUACACUUUGCAGUAUGGCAUACCAAGAGAACAAAUGGAAUGGCUGAAUUUGGUAGAUAUGAUUAGACUGAAAAUAGAAAUGGUUUUGGCAGGCCUUAUGGAAGGGCCCUGACUCUUGCCUGUCCAUCCCUUCUCCCACUUCCCCUCUUUCACUCCCACUAUCCAUUUUAGGCAUCUUUGCUUCUAAGUGGAAAACUUAGUAUCCACACAGCCUAUAUACAUCCAUCUUGUUUGGCCAGCCUCAUUUUUAGGAUAUGUUGGUGGUUGUUAGAGCACAGAUCUGGCAUCCAUUCUCUGAGCUCCACAUUCCACAUGCACAGAGGGUACCACUUACUAUUCCCUCCUGUCUCUAUCUGAACAGGAAGUCUCUUUCUUCCUCUAUUUCCUACCUUGCUUCUUAGAAUAGUAUGGACUUUGUGGGCCAGAAGGCAACACGAUCACUUUAGGCAACUUUAUUCUUAAGAAGUGUGGGCCAUAUUAAAUACACCCGGUACCCCUGUAUUUGGUGGCCUUUGCCUACAAGACUGAAGAGAAGUAUAGCAGAAAUUCAGGAAAGGCUGUAGAUAAGCAAGAGAGGAACAGAUCUCCAGAAAAUGUAGGCUCAAGAUAGCAGCACUGUCUUACAGUCAAAUUAGCAAACAAAGGAGGAAGAGCCAGCCUACCUUUGUAGUCAAAAGAUGGCCAAUUCUAAUCAAUAUACUUCGAUGAACACUACUCUCCUCUCAUUUCCCCACUCUCCCCUCCGUCAGCAAGACAAAAAAUACAUUUAUCUCUCCAUCAUCACCUAGCUCAGAAAAACAUUGUCUCUGACUUCAAGAAAACUGAACUCCUCUAUGAACGUGUUCCAUUGUCUCAGGAGACCCAAGUGUUCCAAGGAUCCUCAGUGGGGACAGAUUCACAACAAACCUCCUGACCAAGGAGAAGGAAUCAUCUUACCUUCUGUUAUAUAGACUUCCAUUCUGAGUCAGAAAAAAAUCUGUCCUCCAGAUUAUCCAACCAUAGCCCAAAGAGGGUCCUCUGCCUUUACCUGCAAACCAGUUGGGUGGAAUGAGAGGAGAGAGGUCACUUGUACAUGUCUGUGGCCGACGAUGACCCUAAGUUGUGGACAGAGCAGGUUGGUGGAUGAUAAUAACAAACAUUUAUAUAGUGCUUACUAUCUUUGAGACACUGUUCUUAGCACUCUGCAUAAAUGUAUUUAAUCCACACUAGGUCUUUGAGGUAGGUUAUGUUAUUUUCCUCAUUAUGAAUGAGGGACUGAGGCAUAGAAGGUUAAGUAAUCUUAGAUCAGAGCUCUAGUUAGUGACAGGGUUGAUAUUUGAGCUCAAGCAGUCUGGCUCCUAAAGUAAACCACCUAAACUUAACCCCUAAAGUAAACCACUUCUCAAUAGCUUGCUCUGCUCUGGGCUCUUCAGAUUAGGAAGUACCAGUGAUAUCAUAGUAUAGCUAUCUGUGAUGUGCUGCUCUGCUUCCCUGACACAUGGUAAAUGACUGUCCCACCAUGCCAGCCAUUAGCAAAGCCAUAGAGCCUCUGAAAGCACAAGUAGCUUUUAAUAAGGUAUUGGGGCUAAUUAGGAACACCAGAACAUAAGUGUGUACAACUGUAACAAAAUCACAGUUAGCUCUUCUCUCCUUUUUUCUCCUGAUUUCCAGUCUCUCAAGCCUCUACUAAUUUAUGUAUUCUUUGUUAAAUCCUUGUGGAUUUACCACUUUUCAUUUCAGCACUUCCUAACUCUUGUUGUGUUAAAAGCAUCAGGAAUCUCAGAAGGUCUAGACAAGGAAACAUGUCCAAAGCCCACCAUACUCAAGAUUCCCUUGUGGAGAGGAACCUGGCCAGUCAGAGGGAGCUGAUUAAGGGUGGAGUCGUUGGUAGGGGCAAAUGGGAGGAAGAGGCAGGCCAACAAGAAAGGGAAGUGGCAAGAAGGGUGUUUGGAUGGAAAUGCUGCCGCUGCAACCUUCUCUGGAGCCUGAGCUGUGUACUGGGAGAGCUGCCCCACUUAGGCUCUGGUCUGCACGGAGCCCACUCUGCUCAGCAGCUGGACACUCUUGGUACCUUUUUCUAAGGCUUGGGAGUGCAUCAUAAUGCUCACUUCACUCAGCUCAGUGGCUUUGUCAGGAAAUGAUCCCCAAAAGGAAUGUUGCAGGCUUUUAAUUCUUUCAUUUUUUCUAGGCUCCGAAAAAGUACCUGCUUCCCCAAUUUCUUACUCUCCUUGGGUCUCAGGUCAGAAUGUCUUUCAUUUUGGCCAGUGUGGAGGAUAGAAAUGGAAUAGUCAUUGAGGAUGACUUCCAAAAAAAAAAACUAAAUUUCUUUCUCUUGUCUCCCUUUUCCCUUCCCUUGAUCACACUCUUUAGGACCAAGCACACCAAUUAUUAUGCUCAGCUUUACCUCUUAGGGAGAAUAAAUUUAGAACUAAAAAGGAAAUAAUAGGUUAAUACUUUCCUCUUCCUCCUUUCCAUACUCCCACUUUUAUCAGCGUCUCUUUUUAAACACUCUGUGGGAAGGCUAAAAACACUGAAUGCUCUUUCCCACUAAAGGUGAGAGGUCAGAUUGGGUGUGUGGGUGUGGGUCAUCCUGUCCCUGCUCCCUCUCUCCCUGUUGGGGGGUGAGCGUGGUUUGAGGACCUUGGGUAUUCAUAGCAUCACGGACACCCUUUUCGGUUAUGCCAUGCUGUUUUCUUAUAAGUUAUUUUCCGUUUUCUCCCCUUCACCUAGACUGGCCAGAACGGAUAUCUAAAUGACAUCAGGUUAGUACCACUUAGCAUGUUCCCUGCUUCUCAUUGAGCUUUGUCAGUGAGGUUAAUAUAAUCCUGUAAUGAUGCUUUUCUUUGAUGUUAACCAACAGACUCUCCAAAGAAGCCUUUUCUUCUAGCUCUCACAAGAGAAGGCAGAUUUUUAGGUACCUCUGUGUGAUCUAUAUAUCUCUCCUUGUCAUUGUUUGUUUGUUUUUUUUUCUCUUUUUUUGUUUUGUUUUUGUUUUGCUGUAAUCUUUUCAGCGGAGUGAGUUUGCUCCAUGCAUGGCUGCUUGUGGAAUAAUUCACUUUGUGGUUUUUGCAACAUUGGAUAUUUUUCCCGAUUAAAAAAGAAAUGGCUCCUGCUCAAUGACUUUAUUUUUGUUGUUGCUGAUCUCAUUUUAAGUCGUGGAUAGGUGGUGAAGGGGACCAAAUAGGUGUGUCUGGGAUAGGAACUGCUCAUUUCCAGAAGUUGCUGGAAUUGGGCAUUUGGGGAGGAUUUCAACGUGUAUUUAUAUUAAGGUAAAAGAAUGGGUAUCUUCUGGCUACGUUUUCUGCUAUGAAAGGUGUAAAGAGCUUAUCCCUGACCCAGUGUAGGGAAUGUUUUAUGUCUUUAAGAAAGAAUAGAACACACACACAUACACACAUAUAAAAACACAUACAAACAUCUCUGUCUAUGCAGUUUUCUCUUUGGGACAACAUAAUGUGUAAGAUGACCUCAGAAAAGACUUCUCUUCCUUAGAAUGGACUUGGAGCAUAUCUUUUUUAUAUGACUGCCCAUGACUUGCUGUUAACAUUGGUGAAAGCUGCUAUAUUAACUCUUCAGGCCUAAUAUUCUCCCAUUUUCCACAAAGCAGUCAUGAGAAUCUCCCUUUCAUUUUAGUCUCUCAGUCCUACUCUAGAGGAUCACACAAUGUGGUGAUGAGAGAAGCACUUCAUUAGGACCCUAUCUGGUACCAACUGAUUUUAAGUAUAUUCUUCCCAUUUUACCAACAGGACAACUAUAGAGUAGAGAAAACUUGAGUAUUCAAUACUAGGCUUCAGGUCUAACCCAUUCCAAAGGGCUUCUUUCUUUUUGAAUCCUAAGCUUGAUGGGAACUGAGAUUAGUCAGAGCUCUCAUUCCCAGCACUUCAAUUGUCCCUUCCCCCCUGUCCUUUCUAAAGUUAGUCAGACCACAUAGAAAUUUGGAUCACAAGAUUUCUCAUUCUUUGAAGGGGGGCGUUAUCUCCUUUCCCAUAUCUCUGAACUCUUUUUCCUAGACCAUCCCACCCUGAGGUCCAUCGGAAAGCCCUUAGGCAGUAAAGGCUCUGCAUUGUUCAUGGUGGUCAAAAUAGAUCCCCCCCCAAAAAAAAUAAAUAAAUUCCUGUUCCAUAUUGUAUACUUCAAGGUCAUGAAUCAUCCCAGAAUAUCUGUAAUAAACAGGAGUUUUAAGCGAACUUCUUUGCACAUGCUAAUGCACAGGGCUUUAUGGUUGCCAAAGUAUACUGUAUCUGAUUCAGAUUUCUCAGUGUCCUGAUUUGGUAAGCUGGUUUACACGGAAGAAAGAAAACAAAAGCAGAGAAAUUAAGUAGCUAACCUAAGUUUAUGUGGCUAUUAGUGGCAAAACUGGGACUCUUUGUCCAGUGUUAUUUCACCACACCACACCAGCUCUCUACAAAUAUCACCCCUUCCUCUCUGAGUAGUGUUCCAUUUGGAACCCUAAUUCAGAUUCACUGCUAAGAACGAUGCCCUUAUCAGUGCUGUGGAGCAUUGAACUACAUCAGACUGUGCUGAUAAUAGCUCCAAGGAUCUAGUGAGCAGGUAUAACCCUGUCCUAUCCAUAUCUCCUUGUAAGCUGCUGCUUUCCAUACUAUGUGUUGGUUAAAGAUCUAGGUCAUCUAAUAUGCAAUUCCAUGGACUCUGAAGGGGGUAUCUUCUAUUUGGGUACUAGUCCAGAAUUCUAGUGAUGAGAAGCUGGUCUUCUCUAACUGCUUUAUACCUUUCUUCCCAAGUGUGUGACACAAAUACUGAUAUACCACAUUCCAUCAUCCACUUUGGCAAUAACUAGGGCAACUUCCUAGUUCUUUGGAAGAUUCUAUUCCAUUUGAUAAAUAAGCCAUUACUGACAUUUACUGUCACCUCUUAACACAGGCCUCCCUACCCACUCUUCAGACCUGAUAAACUGAACUUUUCACCAUCAUAAAUCUACUCAUGAAAGCUAGGUCAGCUUUGAUUUUACAGGAGUAUGAAGUGUGAAUGCUCUCUGUCCUGUACCCCCAUCUCUCCAACACACACACAUAGCCCAAUCCAGGGCUUAGAACUGAGUCUGGGAGUUUUCCCUAGUUGCCUUAUGUUUAGUGAAGUGGAAAGACAUGGUUUAGUUGUAGAGAAGAAAAACUGAUCUCUUUCCUGGCCAAUACACAACUCAGAUUCCCUAACUCUUGGGGGUGUAGUGUACGAACCCUGGCUAGACCAUCAGACUAGCCACAUUUCGAACACUUGGCCAUCAUCGUCUUGGGGGAACUGGAUGAGUACAGAAGUGCUGCCACUUUGGCUCAAGCUUCCCAGGGUGUUUGGUUUAAAGUUGACUCAUUCACUGUUUACCUCUAGUAGAAAGAGAAAGUUAAUGGGAGAAUUGUCCUAAAAGAUAGUGCUGUGUUUGAUUUAGGUGUAAAAGUCCAUUAGGACUUGUCUUGUAAAAUUCAAGUUCUAAUCUCACCCAUUGCCAUUGCUGUAUUCGCUGCCCCAUAAACAGACACAUCUUUAUUGAGUCCUCUCAGUAGGCUUGCCUUUGUCCAUUGAGUCAGAGCUAUUGGCUCUCACUUCAGGUCUGGUUUUGUUCCUGGAGAGCCCCUGAUUUAUGUUUCUUUCUUGUUUCCCAUUCUACUUUUGACAUUCCCAAGACAAAGGGAUAAAGUUUUAGGGAGACAGGGAUAUUUUCCAGUUCUCUACUCUUACAUAGAGAGAAGCACUGAGGUUUUAUAUAUAUAUAUAUAUAUAUAUAUAUAUAUAUAUAUAUCCACUUGGGAUUCGGAGAAGAAUUAGCAUGUCCCUAGCCAGCUGUGCCAGUGUGUUUGUUCUUAGCCCACCAUGAUUGCCUUGACCAAAACUUAAAAUAGUGACCCUAGUCUUUAUUUUUGCCCAUUUUCCCUACAGUACCUUUGGAGCAGGUAUUCUAAUAAAGAAAGGUAUUUUCUUUAAUAUUACCCUCAUAAGAAAACACCUUUUUUUUUAAAUGAGAAUAACUCUGAGCCUCGUGUCUUUGAAACUAAGGGGAUUGGAUGGCGUUUGUAUUUGCUUUAGGUGGGAUGGUAGUGCAAAGGAGGGAACCCAAGCUACUAUGAUUUUUGCUCACCUGCUCCCCAGUAUAUAUACCAAAACCUUUGUAAUUGUUGCCUUUGGUUUCUUUAGUUCAGAACUUACUGGGGGUGGGAGAUAUGAAAGGAAAAUUCCUGGUUCUUGGUUGCUUAUUAAGAAGCAGUAAGGGCUCAGUAAGACUUAGGGUUUUUAGGUCAACCCCAUCUGUCUUGAGGACAACUGUUUAUGAUCCUAGGCAGUGAUUACAGCAUCAGGAUAACCCUGAUGCUUCCUGAGAAAAAUAAGAGAGGAGGAGUCCCUCUUCUCAAUAGCCUUGUGUCUUGCCUGGGGCAAUAGGGUUAUUAAUAUGGUGGCAGGUGGGCACAGUUAGCCCCCUGCUGCUUGCCAUCCUGGGUCCCAAGGGCAUAUUUACUUGAUCUUUACUUGAUUUACUUGACUUUAGCCCUUAGAGACCCUGGAACCAGUAGUUUGUAGAUACCAUCACAGAAUUGCCACAAAACAGGUUGGGUCAAUUUUAGACUAUCAGAUUGAGUUUUCCAGAGUGACCCGUUAAUGAAUAUAGUCCUCUUCCCACCCCUGGAAAAGUGGUACCUCUGCUGGCUUUGACACAUGUUAUGUGGAAGACCUGUUAUAUUUAUCCAUGUCAUUGGCUACCCCUGCCUUCUAGCAAUAGUAGCUUCUAGGAGUCCUUUUGUCUUAAGAACUCCUAGAAGGAGGUGGUACCCCUCUGCUCCCCACUAUCUCCUGCAUGUGUGGGAUCCCUGCGGGGGCAGGGGAAGAGACCGCAGCCAAUCUCAGCAUCAUGUAUAUGGUUUCCCAUCCACCUCUGGUCUCAUAUUGAAUUAGCUGCCAGCGCACUGUCUUCCAGAUUUGCCCCUGUGCUCUUUGUUACUGUACUGGAUCUUGUUCUGUCUGCUCCCAGCAAGUCUUGGUUGGCCAGCCAACUAACAAGAAAUCAGUGUCCAUCCUCCUCCCAACCCUCACCCCUUCUUUGUUAUCGAAGGAAUAGAAAUGAACUCUCUCCUAGCCCUUCUGCCGAAGUGGUAGGUGGGGGGUGCUCUGACCACUGUGGUCUCUGCAGGGGGAACCGUGAGGGGCUGAGCCGAACCUCAAGCAGCCGCCAAAGCAGCACAGACAGCGAACUCAAAUCCCUGGAGCCACGGCCUUGGAGCAGCACAGACUCUGACGGCUCUGUCCGGAGCAUGCGGCCCCCUGUCACCAAAGCCAGCAGCUUCAGUGGAAUCUCUAUCCUCACCCGAGGGGACAGCAUCGGGAGCAGUAAAGGUGGCAGUGCAGGAAGGAUCUCCAGGCCAGGUACUACAGCUUCUGUCCUUCAGUGUCAUGCUCAUCAUUUCUUGCUUGUCUCCUCUAAAACAUCAUUGAUGUUUGGAGCACUGGGUGGCUCAGUCAGUUAAGCACCUGACUUCAGCUCAGGUCAUGAUUUCACGGUUCAUGGGUUCAAGCCCCGCAUCGGGCUCUGUGCUGACAACUCAGAGCCUGGAGCCUGCUUCGGAUUCUGUGUUCCCCUCUCUGUCUCCUCCUACCCCACUCACACUCUGUCUCUCUCUGUCUUUCAAAAAUAAAUAAAUGUUUAAAAAGAAAUCACUGAGGGGCGCCUGGGUGGCUCAGUCGGUUAAGCGUCUGACUUCUGCUCAGGUCAUGAUCUCGCGGUUCGUGAGCUCAAGCCCCGUGUCGGGCUCUGUGCUGACAGCUCAGAGCCUGGAGCCUGUUUUGGAUUCUGUGUCUCCCUCUCUCUCUGACCCUCCCCCGUUCAUGCUCUGUCUCUCUCUGUCUCAAAAAUAAAUAAACUUAAAAAAAAAUUAAAAAAAAAAAUCACUGAUAUUUACUUCUAACAAAACAUUUCUCACAGUAUAGUGUCCUGGAAAGCUAACAUAGCCAGAUGAGGAGAAAUUUGAUUUCUUGGAUCCCCUGUUUUUUGAUUCCUCUCUCCGAUUUUCUUUCAAACCUUCUUUCCUAAUUGGAAAAAUAAAUAAAUAAAAGGUUGCGAUUAGAUUAUUUUAUCUUAUUUCUGACCAAGGUUGGACAUCCCUGUCAGCCCAAGUUCAAGUUAUAUGCUAAGAUGAGAAUGAUACUGCUUUCAUUCUGUGGCCUCUGAGAUUAUAAAGAGGGUUGGUUGAGCAGAAGGAACCUUUGGAGUUGAGCUGUUUGUAAUUAAUUGGUAGCAACCGAUAGGCCACAACUGCAAGAGAUGCUGUGGCUGCUUCCCUGGAGCCCAGUCACUGAGGAGGAGCAUAUGUUCCACAUGCCAGCCCUGUAACCACCCUUCAGCUCUCCUGAUGUGCAAUGUAACCUCCUCCAUUUAUUCCUAUUGUACUCUUUCUUAGCAGGGGGUAUUUAGCUCUUUAUACCCAGUGGGCCUCCAUUUCACCCUCCUCCCAUCUCUGAAGAAUCCUUGCAUCUCAUCCCAGAAGUUCUGUAGGUUUUGUCCUCAGAAGACAUCAGUAGUGGUGAAGAUUCUGCCUCUGUUAGGUCUCUGAUGGCCUUCUCUGUUACCUCCUCUCUAACCCCACUGCCUCUGCCUUUAUCCAGGCCUUUAUCUUCUUUUAUUUAGGUAUGACGCUAGCCCCCAAGCUAGUUUCCCUGCUCCACCCUUAGCCCUUUUAGAACCGGUUUACUAGUCUAAAACACAGAUCUAAUCGUGUCAGUCGUCUGUUAAAAUUAACAUUCAUGUUUCUGCAUUCCUGGCAUAAUAAAAUCCGAAUGACUUAAUGUAGCGUUGCUUCCUGACCCGUUUGCCAUCUCAGUCUUACUCCCAGAUAUCCUUCCUCCUCUGGCCCUCCAGCCAUUUCUUGAAUAUGAUAUUAGCUUCAUCCCUCCUUGGUCUAACAAGCCUUCUAUUCAUCCUGCAAAUCCAUUUCUCCUCCCACUUCCUGUUUAAGUGAGUUACUGCUUUCUCAUCUUUGCUUCCGUACAACUUUGUUCAUAUCACUGAUGCAUCCCUUAUCCUUAUCAGAUCGUAAUUGCUGUGUGAACGUCCAUCUCCUUUCGGAAGAUCCUGUGCUGCUUAAGGGAAAGGACUGUGUUCUCUUCACCUUUGAGUCCUCAGCUCAUUAUACAAUGCCUAGCACAUAGCAGAUACUUAGUAGAAGUAUUUUGUGUGAAUGCGUGCAUGACUUGAAGAGCCUGGAAGUGGGAAGAAUAGUUGGGUGACAGUUGUGCGUAUGUGUGUGUACAGGCAAGUGCUUGGAAAGGCCAGAUUGCCUUCUCAGCAACUCCUGUGAAAUGCUGCAAGUUGAGGAGAAAUCCAAGAGAAGCCAGGUCUCUUACAGGACUGGGAAUCUAUACCUUCCCAGGAAGCAGAUAGUCAUGUUCUCAGCUGUCUGGUCAUGUUGGACAGGUUCUCGGUACUUCAGCGGAGGCAGCUUGUCAGCCUCACGUUUUGUUCAAUUCCAAAAUCCAGUAUCGACGGGUGCGGUGUUUACUGUUCCCGGGGAACAGACACCUGCUAAGAUGAGGACUCCCAUCAGCAGGGCAGCUGCUCAUUCAUAUCUGUGCUCAUUCACGGAUCUUCCCAAGAUAGUGGGGGAAUGGACAGAAGGGAAGUGAAGAGAAACAGCAGAGCAGGAGUAGCACCCUACAUGUCCAAGGGUGGCAUGUUCACGGCUGGUGCUUACAACUCUUGGUGGGUCUCCUCUUUGCCUUAGGUUUGGCGCUAGGUGCCCCAGAAGUGUGCAACCAGGUCACCUCAUCCCAGUCUGUCCGGGGCCUUCUCCCUUGUACUGCCCAGCAGCAGCCGCCACAGCCACAGCCGCAGCAACUUCCUGCGCUCCCACCCACGCCUCAGCAACAGCCACCCUUGAAUAAUCACAUGAUCUCACAGGUGAGUCACCAGCAGAGCCCCUCCGCUCUGAUUCAAGCAAGCUCUGGAAGUACAGUCAUGUCUGUUGUGCUGUGGGUGGCAGGAAAGAUCUGUUGUUGGAGACCUGCCACUCGCUCCCCCGUUUCUUAUUUGUUAGUUGUGGGGAGAGAAGAGUAAGGUAAGGGUUUGGCCAAAGUGCUCUUAGAGUCAGCCUGGGAGCUUUUUGCCUUCUGUUUCUUCCUUUUCUUCCUGAGAAUUGCCAGUGGGAUCUUUUACCCCAUUCCACAUUUCUGCUGUAGCCCAUUUCCCUCUACAUCCUGUGUAAUUAGCAAGGCGAUUUUGUUCACUGCAUCCAUAUAUGGAGCUUGAAAAAAAUCAUGGCUCUCACCAUAACCAGCUGGAUGUAUUCAUGUGACUGUUGACCCGCAAACACAUAUUUAUGGAUUGGGGUUUGAAAAAAGGAAAUCUACUCAAGACCCCUUCCAUACAUAUGCCAUAAGGCACAAUCCCCCCCAAAGUUGUCUUUGUUUCCCAUGCCACGAAAGAGCUCUUUCUCCUUCUGUUGCUGGACUGGUAGAUAUUAAUAUCAAGUAGGGUUUGCGUGAAGUUUCCUUUCUGCAGAGAUCACACAAGUCUUCAGCAUCAGAAUCCGAGCCUAUUCUAAACUGGGACAUCAGUGUUGUAGGUUCAGGUCUCCCUGAUACUCUGAGCAGAGCUGCUCAUGAGUGGAGUCCAUCCUGUAUCCUGGGGUAUGUCUGGCGGUGGUCUCUGCCAGUCAGAAAGCCCGUAUGUCUGCACUCUACUGCUACAGUUCUUCUCAUUGCACCUCCCAGGCUCCCUCGCCUCUGGGCUUAGUCAGUUCAGCUUGGCAUCAGCUCUAUCUCUUCCAUAGGUAAAAGAAGCAAAUCACAAGCAUUAACACCCCAGGAACUGGAAACUAUCAGUAGACUGCAAAGAGCCCAGGAUGGCCCCGUAUUACCCCAUUCUGAUAUUGUAAUCAUCUAGGAAACCCUGCUUUGUGUCUUAAUGUAACCCACAUGCAGAUCAUUCCAGGCCUUUAUCUUGGCCCCUAAGUCAGUUUCUCUAGAGUUCUGACUUUUGUUCUUGCUUGAUCACCAUCUAUCUCAUUAAGUCUCAUUCAUGUCAGCUUACCUCACUCUGUACAGAGGUGUGGCACAAGUGUGUGCAUUCCGUUUGUGUCUUCAUUCAGACCUAUAAAUGGGUACACCUCUCUCUCUCUGGGUAUCUCCUACUGUGUUUCUGUGUGUGCCUCAGUUUUCUAAGGUCCCAGUGUUUGAGUUUUCUAAAAUGUGUGUAUUUUAAUACAGUCUUCCUCCCUUUUCUCCGUCUUAGUCUUCAUCUGCCUCCUACUUCCAUCCAUAUCUAGAAACAGACAAGAGUGGGAAAGGAAUAAAGAGAUCACUAGAAUAACCAUUUGGGACUGAAAAAAUGUUAGAAUGUCUAGGUGUCUGGCCCUAAAUCCCAAACUUUUACUCAGAUUCUGGCCCUGCUUCUGGAUCAUGAGGUUCUGUGAGUCAGUCAUUGAUAUUGACUGAUCUCCUGCAGGAGGUAUGGUACUAGGUUAGGCCUUGUAGAUUGGAGAUCUCUGUUUCCUCAGAAAUCCAUUCUUAAGGUUAACUGUGAUCACAAACUCCAAACUAAAAGAUCUUUUCCUGCUUAAGUUUUGGUGUCCCUGAAGCACUUAAUGAUGGUGACUAAUAUACUACCACCACCCCACUAUUUAUUUAUUUUUUUAAUGUUUAUUUACUUUUGAGAGAGAGAGAGUGGGGGAGGGGCAGAGAGAGAGGGAGACACAGAAUCCAAAACAGGAUACAGGCUCUGAGUUGUCAGCACAGAGCCCGACGCGGGGCUCGAACCCACAAACUGUGAGAUCAUGACCUGAGCCAAAGUUGGACGCUUAACGGACUGAGCCACCCAGGCACCUCCGCCACCCCACUGUUUAUACCUCCUUUUUUUUCCUCUCCACUUUCCGCCCUCUCUCUCUAUGCCUUCUUCUUCCUAUUGUCUUUUUCUUUCUUUGUUUUUUUCUCUUUUUCCCUCUCAGGACUGGUGGCUCUCCAGUCUCAAGGUGCUGAGCCCCAGCAUAUUUAUUGUUUAGUUUCACAAAUGGUUUGCAACAGUGCAGGGAUGAAGGAAGGAACCACACACACAUGCCACAUACAUGCCACCGUGCUGACUCUAAAGGUUUUCCUUUUGGAGAAAUAGCAAGAAAAGCUCUGUGUUCCAAGGCCUGGGGACAGUGCUAGAAACUAUGUUAAACUUUCCCUUCCUGGCAGGCUGUCCGAGCAGACCUCCCUAUGUAAAACCAAGGGGUGAGGUUGAGAAUUAAAGGGCCAGUGGCUACCUUUUGCUGUGUUUACCUAAGGUAGAGUGGACCACUUGAAAAGGAGGAGUCCUCUGGGAAUCAAGUUAGGCAGCCCAGAGCCAGCGAUCUAGCCCAGAAUUCACCAGCAGGUGGCAGUCAUAUCCCUCAUGGCCAGUCUUUGGCUUCCUCGUGGUAUUUCGGAAGCUCCCUAGCCCUGGUGUUUGAGACUGUCUGAGAACUGUCGCUGAGGGUAGUGGUGGAAGAACCUAAAAAUAGCACUGAGACACAUACUUUUACCACUACUCUUCUUCAGUCAAAAGAGGCCUAUGAGAGGAGCAUCAUUUCUUCCCUCUUUACUUUUUACUCAAAUGUGUAAGAAAUGUGAGGAAAACAGGCAGCUGUACCUAUGGCUACCCCUUCUCCCCCAAAGGAUGUAAGAUCUGAAGCAUAGUAGACCCUUCCCCAAGAGAAAGGAGAGGAUCAGGGUAAUAGAACACGUGUUUAAAAGCUACCAGCACAAGGAGCUCAUGCUGAGCAGGUUGGCCAGCAGUUACAUUUGAAAUGCCACUGGCUCACAGAACAUGGCAUGCCAGGAGAGCUGGGAGUCUAUCAAGGCUGCGGUAAUGUCUCCCCCAGUCUCACAGGGGAUUCUCAGGAGCUUUUUCUUAACCAAGAUGACUUACAUUUUAUUUUCAACAAACUCUAGGUAUCAGGAGCUUUCUCUGUUUUGGAGGUCUUCUAAUUCCCGGACUCUGCCUCCAGAACUGCUAGUCCCCUCUAUGAAAGAGUCUCCCGGAAGUAUAUGGCAAAAGACGAUAUUGACACCUUGGUCCCUGAUACCUCUUAAUACUCUAAAUUUGGAAGGAGGGAGGAGAAUCAUACAAACAAAACAAUGUGUAAAUCUGUUUAACUUCUUCCUUCACCCGCUCCCUACUGUUGACAGUGGAGUGGGAAGAAUAUGUCAGGCAGAACUAGGUUCCCAUCCCAGCUCUGCCACAUUAGAUGUGUGAUCCUGGACGUGUGACUGAAUUUCUCUGAGCCUUACUACCUUAACUGCAAAUACAAGCGAUCCUGUCUCCCUGUGGAUUACUGUGAGUCUGUAAUGAGAUAUGUAUGUAAAUGAGACAACGUAUAAAAUGUUAUUUCCCCCUCUCUUCGUAGCCUCUCUCCUUUUCUCCCACCUCAUCUACCACCAGGGGCUACAGCUAGAGAACCGAUUCUCCAGGAGAAGUGAUUGAAAUGGCUGGAGGGGAAGAAGAUAGAAAAAAAAUAACUCCCCAUUAGUUGGUUUAGAACACAUCAUGUUCCUAAUAAACAAAUCCUCCUGCUUGAGGCUAGUGAAGGGACUAAAGGAACAAAAUCUAAAGCAAGGCUAUUUAUAUUUUAUUCCACAUCCCUCCCUGUUUGCUUAUGGGGGCAUUUUUCAUACUGCCCUCACAGCCUGGAGGAGCACAGAACAAUCAUGGAGCAGGAGGAAGUAGCUGGAACUGGGCAUAAACUGGCUCUUACUUUCUUCUGUACCCUUGGGAGGGAGACGAUCCUUGUGAAUGAGCUCUUCCUCCAGGAGAGCUGUGGUGUGAAAUCAGGACUGUGGCCGGGAAAGCUGAGCCAGACCUUGGAUGACCCCUCCUACAAAAGCAGGAAUCCCUUCUCAAGUGGGCAUUCAAGGAGGGUUAUGGUCAUGCUCCCCAGGGAUCGUAUGUUCAGAAAAAAUGCUUUGGGAAAAGCCGUGUUUGGAAUCAGGCAGCAGACACACCGGCUCUGAGAGUCCUAAGAUUGCUCUCAACGACUGCAGAGUUCUGAGUAGCUAAUGGGUGGAGUGCGCACUGCAGCAGGCCUCUCCUGAUAGGAGAGAUUGCGUAUCUGUCGCCGAUGCGGAUGCGAAAGCCACAGGCUGUCCUGGGCUUGGUCUCCAGUCUGCUCAGCAGCCUUGCUCUUCAUGUGACAUUUUUUUAUGAUUAACCUUGUUGUUCCUCCCCUUUCCCUCCCCACCUCUGCCCUCCCUCCCCCUGCCUCUCCCUGCACUUCCCUUUUCUCUUCCCUGUUCCACAUGCCUCUCUGCUGGUCCACAGCCAGUCCCAGCUCUGCAGCCCUCUCCGCAGCCUGUUCAGUUCUCUCCAGGCUCCUGUCCCCAAGUCCUUCUGCCAGUCUCUCCGCCCCAGCAGUACAACAUGGUAUAAACUCCUUUCCCCUUUUUGUCGUGUCCAUGUGUGGUAUGUCUGUGGGUCCGUCUGGGACAAAGCAGCUGUACUUUUUGGAGGGCCAUGUUAAAAGGCAUAUCUUCUUGAGCAAAGGGCCAGCAUAGGGUGAGCUAUGUUCCAUUCUGGUGGCCUCAUCCCAGCACUUGUGGCAUCAAAAGAUGCCUAAAUGUAAGAGAGGAGCGCUGGUUCCCCUGAGUCUCGGGAGAGGUACAGAAUUGGAUAUUGCUCUAACCUGGGCUCCUUGUCUUUCUACUGUGUGCAUCUUUCAUCCCUCCUCCUCCCUGGAUAUGUCUGAAGAACCCAGUUUAUCUCAUAUAGGAUGGUUUUCUGUCAUUUCCUUUGAAGGUAAAAACACAACUGCAGAUUUGUUUGGUAUCAUCGGUCCAAACUUAAAAUGUUCCCCUAUGUUACUGUGUUAUUUUAUAUUAAAAAAAAAAAAAAAAAACUCCAUUUCCGCGGCAUAGCACAUGCUGUUUAAAUUGUUUGUACCCUAGCUACAAAUCCUAUGAAGACCUGAUCCACCUCAUAGUUGAUAACUUUUUUUUUAACUUAACAUCUUUUUUUUUUAAUGUUUGUUUAUUUUGAGAGAGAAAGAAAGUAUGAGCAGGGGAGGGGCAGAGAGAGAGAAUCCCAAGCAGGCUCCAUGCUCUGCGAGGAGCCUGACUUGGGGCGCAGUCCCAUGACCUUGCGAUCAUGACCUGAGCCGAAAUCAAGAGUCCUCUGUGUUUAACCGACUGAACCACCCAGGUGCCCGCCCCAUAGUUGAUAACUUUUAUCAUGGUUAUCAGAGCCCUGAUUAUUUUUAAUUUUGUGUUAACCACACCUGUCUGGUUUUUGGUUUUUUAAAUGUUUAUUUAUUUAUUUUGAGAGAGAGAUCAAGAGCGAGUGGGAGAAGGGCCAAGAAAGAGGGAGACAGAGAAUCCCAAGCAGGCUGUGCACUGUGUCAGCACAGAGCCUGAUGCAGGGCUUGAAAUCAUGAACUGUGAGAUCAUGACCUGAGCUGAAACCAAAAGUCAACUGCUCAAUCAACUGAGCCUCCCAGGCACCCCACACCCUUCUAAUUUUUCACUAGAAUCCCCUUUCCUUCCGCCUAUAUCUCCAUUCUGAAAAGUUUUGGAAUGUAGACCUCAAAAUUAUCUGCAAUCCAGUCCUCUUAUCAUCUAUUCCUGCUCACUAAGGUAGCAGAACAGCUAACUUGAAGAUCAGAUUCCUGAAAAUUAAGUGAAACCACGGGAAAGCAUUGCCUUUUCUUUCUACUAGUUCCUCUUUCAAAAGAAGUCCUGCUCUGCGUGUGUGUGUGCGUGUGUGUGUGUGUCAACUACCGUCCGGGAAGCAGAAGGAACGAGGAAGCUAACAAAUUCUAACCUAUCAUCAUACAAGUGAGAGGCAGAACACCAUCCCUCUUGCUGCUUAGAGAAGAAGGCUGAGCGAGGAGGCAAUUACAGACUAGCCUGUCAGCCUCCUUGCCCUUCACCUUGGCCACUCAGCCUGGCCUCCUUUCAGAGGUGAGAAUUGGAAGUAGUUCCUGAAGGGCAGGAGAACUCUAGGCAAGUGUCAGCGAACAGAGGUGGAAAUGACCUCAAGAGGAGGGAGUAAGGAGAUAAGCAGCAGGAGGGGGAGCCCACCAGUCCUUUCGCUGCAUAGGCAAAGCUGGGGAGCCACGAGAACCUAACCAUCCCUAAUCCAUUCGAGGUGUUACUUAUCUAGGUCCUUUAUUACAAAAACAGGAUUUAUGGCAAUAUAGGGCCUUUUGUAUGGUUGGAGACUGGAAGACCGGAAAAGAAGGACUUACAAUCUUUUUCUUGUUAACCCAUUAGUUUGUCCUGUUUUUUUCUAUAUAUAUAUAUAUAUAUAUAUAUAUAUAUAUGUAUAUAUAUAUAUAUAUAGAAAGUUGUAUUGUUGCUCCCAUCUCUCUAGGACCAAUUCUAAUAAAGAUCAGAGUCACCGUGGCCAUUGUUAUGUGGUAAGGAGUCCGGUUCUGGAGUUGGGCUUUACACAGCUGUUCAGUUCAUAGCAAUUUUUUUUAAGAUUUUAUUUUUAAGUAAUCUCUCCACCCUAUGUUGGGCUUGAGCUCACAACCCCAAGAUCAAAAGUUGCACGUUUCACCGACUGGGCCAGCCGGGCACCCCCAGUUCAUAGCAAUUUAAAACACCACAUGACAGAAGCUUAGGGCUAAAAAGCGCCUCCUAGGGCAUGGAGGCAGGAGUGUCCCAAAUUGGUGUAAGGAAGGAAGGCUGUAGAGGGGGUUGCUAUAGCUGUCUGUCUGUCUGUUUUUGUGUUGAAGCCAAAGACUUGGGGCUUGAUAUGACCUCAGUCCUUGAGUCUCCCUUGCUCUCUCAACAGGCAGAUGACCUCAGCAACCCCUUUGGACAAAUGAGCCUUAGCCGUCAAGGUUCUACUGAAGCAGCUGACCCAUCCUCAGCUCUGUUCCAGCCCCAGCUUAUCUCCCAGCACCCUCAGCAGACUAGCUUCAUCAUGGCUUCUACAGGACAGCCCCUCCCCACAUCCAACUAUUCCCCCUCUAGCCAUGCGCCUCCUACUCAGCAAGUCCUGCCGCCCCAGGGCUACAUGCAGCCCCCUCAACAGGUGAGCAGCAUGGGCUCCCAGCUAAAAUCACUAAUUGAGUUUGUCCACGAUUACGAUCCUUCUUUCUUCCUCUAGUUUAGACAGAGCUGAGGACGUACCUAUCCCCACUUCCAUUACCUCACCUUGCAUUUGAGAGUUGUCUUUCUAGUCGGAAGGUCGUCUUUCUCUAUAACAUAAAUCCUUCCAGUUCUGUUUCAUACUGGUAUAUGAAUUCUGCAAUUGUAGGUCCAAAUAUCUCUACAGAUUUCUGGCUAUUUACCCUGAUGUAUUUCAUAGUUGGGAUGUUGGGGCUGAAUGUAAGGGCCCCUCUCACAUAUCUGUUUCCUCUCACCAUAGAUCCAGGUUUCUUACUAUCCCCCUGGACAGUAUCCUAACUCCAACCAGCAAUAUCGACCUCUCUCUCACCCGGUGGCCUACAGCCCCCAACGUGGUCAACAGCUGCCUCAGCCAUCCCAGCAGCCUGGUAAGAGGAACUGCUGGUGUAAGAAGGCAGUGAAUAGGGGAAGGGCAGAGACUGGGAAAGAGAGUAGUACCUUCCUUGUUUUAAAAAAAAAAAAAAAAGAACAGCAGGAAUGAUUAGUCCCAGAAGGAACCCAGGAUCUUCAGAAAAAGAAAAGGUAAAAUAGACAGGAGAAGGGAAAUUACUGAGAGAAUGCGACCUCCUAAACAUUGUUGAGACCAUGCUAAGCUAAUGUCUUCUGUGUCUUGCCCGUCCCUAGGUUUACAGCCCAUGAUGCCUAACCAGCAGCAGGCGGCUUACCAAGGCAUGAUUGGGGUCCAGCAGCCACAGAACCAGGGCCUGCUCAGCAACCAGAGGAGCAGCAUGGGGGGCCAGAUGCAAGGCCUGGUGGUUCAGUACACUCCACUGCCUUCUUACCAAGUGGGUACAUUCUGUACUGGGAAAGAUCACCCAGUCCUUGGGAUGAGGAAAAGGAACACAGUCUCCCACGUUAGCCAGUGUGACAACCCCAACACUAAAAUACUGUUCACUUUCCCCUUAGAAUUUGUAGGUGUUUUUCCUCUGAGAGAAAGCCCAAAGAUUCUGAGAAGAGUCUUUACUUAAAUUGUUUGGUCUUUAUACAGCCAUGCAGAUGAGUAUAUGGCCCAGAAAAGUAAGAUCUAAAGGAAAUCAGGCUCCUUUCUCUGCAUCAGAUGCCUAAAGGGAGAUAGCUCUGUAUGUAUUUUCUUUAGGCAGAUGAGGUGAGUAGGAGGAGUCUCGAAAGGUAGGGAAGGAAGUUAGUGUCCUAGUCUAGUGAUGACUUAUUUGGCCAUUGUCUGGAUGAACUCAUUAGGAGUACAAGUGGUCAUUCUCUUCUCAUCUCUAUCCAGGUCCCAGUGGGUAAUGACUCGCAGAAUGUGGUCCAGCCGCCUUUCCAGCAGCCCAUGCUGGUCCCUGCGAGCCAAUCUGUGCAAGGGGCACUCCCAGCAGGGGGCGUACCAGUGUACUACAGCAUGAUCCCACCGGCUCAGCAGAACGGUACUAGGUGAGGACUCCAAGCGAGUCAGGGCCCAUCUGCCAUAGACCAGCAGCUAUUUCCACUGACCUAAGAAAGAAGGGCAAGGGUAGAGAUUCCAGUGUGCCCUAAAGCAGGUAGAAUAUGAGGAAAUUCAUUCUCCUUGUCUCAUUUUUGAUUUGACAUGUGAAUAAGAGCUCAUCAGCAGAAAAAAAUUCCUGCUUCAAAGACAGAGGCUUCAUCAUCUCCCCCAUUUUUUGUUUUUUCUAAUCAGUGGGAUUUAGAACUAUACGAUAGAGAUUGCUCAUCAUUAAAAGAAGCAAUUUGGGGGCAUCUUGGUGGCUCAGUCGGUUGAGCCCAGCUGACUCUUGAUCUCGGCUGAGGUCAGGAUUUCAUGGUUCGUGAGAUCAAGCCUCGAGUGGGGCUGUGCGCUGACAGUGCAUAGCCUGCUCUCUCCCCCUGCCCCUCUCUCUCUGCCCCUCCCCUGCAUGUGCACAUUCUCUCUCUCUCAAAAUAAAAAAAAAAAAAAAAUUAAAAGAUGCAAAUUGGAGUAUAUAUAUGUAAAUUUUUCUACAUAACUCUAUAUCCAUGGAUGAAUCUCAGAUGGUGUAUCUAUUUAUAUAUAUCUUAGUAUAGGUCAUACCUGAUAGAAUUUUAGAGGUAGAAGACACCUUAGAAAUAUUUAAUCCACUCCUCUUGUUUUCCUUUUCUCCCUUCUUUUACAAAUGAGGAAAUUCCAGCCAGGGAGGUUAAGAAACUUACUCAAAGUCAACCAGCUAGUUAGAAGUAGAGCUGGGACUAGAAGUCAAGUCUGGGCCUAUAUGUAUUUCUGUGUAUUUCUCUCAGUGUAUAUGUUCACUACUUUUUGUAUGUAUGUCUCCACCUUAUCUUGAGUUUGUGAGGGUUUUUCCCCACUUCUCUUUAGGUAACUCUGCUGUUAUGUAAACAUCCGAAAUCACACAUCUCCUUAGUUCUUUUUUGCCCAUCCCUCUCUAGCACUGUGUGUCUGUUUUUGGUACUUCGUGUUUCUCAGAAUGUGUGUGUGUGUGUGUGUGUGUGUGUGUGUGUGUGUGUGCGCGCGUGCGCAUGUGUGCACGUGGAUAUGUCUGGUGUUUCCACACUGUUGGGAAGAGCAUGUGUCACUAACAUUCCAUCUGUAGCACUGAUUAGCAGCUUCCUAAUUGAAAGAUGAUCAAGUACAAAUAUAUAUAAUUAACUUUGAACUGAUGAGUGAUUUUAGAAAUUGCAUGGCAAAUUGGUCUGGGAAUGGCUGGAAGCUGCCUCUGCUUCCCACAGGGGAGGCCUGGGAAGCAGCAGCUGGUUGCCAGGAGCUGUGUUCCUCCCUCCGCCACUUUAACCCUACUCUCUUCAUCCCCCAGCCCUUCUGUAGGGUUUCUGCAGCCUCCCGGCUCUGAGCAGUACCAGAUGCCUCAGUCUCCCUCUCCCUGCAGUCCACCACAGAUGCCACAGCAGUACUCAGGUAAGAGGAUAAAGAAUUAGAGGGUCUUGGGUAUUGGCAAGAGCAAACGCUGCUGAAAGACUUGUGCUCUAGAGCUGGGAAGGGUGGGAGAGUUCCUGGAUUGGCUCUGUCCCCAGCUAUAACACCAUCACAAGAAAAGACCAGAGUCCUGACUGGUGUUUUUCCAGGAGUGCUAAAGUUGACCUCGUGAGAGAUGAGGUUGGUUGCCCCAUCCUAUCCCUGGGAAGCCACAUACUUUAUUGUGUUCCUUGUGGGGUUUUUUUUUCUUUCUUCUUUUUUUCCUUCCCUCCGAAACCAGCAUUACACUCACCACUCACAUGCCUUUGAGACACAAAGUGCUUACCUCUGUCUCCUGCACUCACUCUUCCUAUAGACAGCUUUACUUUUUGGUUGUGAGUGUGAGGAAGCUGAUAAAAUGCUUUUUAAGUCCUAUCUUAGAUUUGUUUAGCUGCUUUUCAUUUGUGCUCACAUACAUUGUGUCAUUUUAAUUCUCACCAGAACCUUGUGAAGAGGAAAUUUAAGACUCAAAGAGGAUAAAUGACUUGCCUGAGGUCACAGUCGUAGACCUUGAACUAGGGUCUUUUGCCUUCCAUGCUGCAUCCUCAAUAUCACACUUUCAACAGGUCUCUGUACUCUAUUCCUUUCCCUCCAGUGGGAAAUAAAUGAAUAUCAUGUUAAAUAGCUAAAGGCCUUCUUUGAAGGGACAGCUAUCAGGUGAGUAGGCUUAUGCCAUGCAGGCUGUCUCUUUCUGCCUCUGCCAAGGACUCUCCCAGCAGACCAAGUACAGCUACCCUUGUUUGUUUCCCUUUUACCCAACCCUGACACAGCAUUACCCUGCAGUUAAAGCAGCUUCAGGGGUUCUAGUGGGGAGGAGAUCUUAAUGUAGCCUCCAACCAUCCCCAUUCUGCUCUGUUGUGGGAUAUCAGAGUGCCCUCUUCUGGUGAGAGGGAAGCAUUUUGACGGUUUUUCCCAUUUUAGAAAUAAGAUUUUCACAUAAGAGUUUUCGCACUCUUAGUUAGAUGCUGUGGAGUGAAUUCCAGAAUUAAUCUUGCUCAUAAGACAGGAUCAAUUCUUCUUACCUUCAAGGAGCAGUGACUUCUGCCUUCAUCCAGACCAAACGUGGCUUUCUCACAGGCUGAGAGGUUUUAAAUUCAACAGCCUUUACCCUUUAUUACAUUCCUGGUCUGUAGCUGUUUCUCCUAAGUGUCCACCGGGGGCACUUGACCUUGAAAUUCCCAGCAGGAUAUGGAAAUUGUAGAAAUCAGCUCCAAGAACCGCUGUAGCCUCUGGUGGUGCUUACUACUGCAGGGCAUUUUCUCUUGUUUGUUAAGACAAGUGUGUGUAUGUGCAAAUAGUUAUACUUGUAUGUGCAUUUUUAUGUGAAUCCUUCGUGGUAUAUCAGUAUAUGUAUUGGGUCUCUGUGGUUGUGUCUCUUCAUCUUCAGAUACAAGGUCUUGGAAUCUGAAACAAACCAAGUGAGAAGAAUUUUUCACUACCUGCUCUGGACUUAGUGCUAGGUUAAGCAAACCGGAACAGCUGUUGUUCUGAAAAUUGGCAGCACCAGAGGUCUGGGCUGGGAUUGGAAGAUCAUCUGGACUCUUCCCAGAUCAAUAGAAAUGGAGGAAGCCCUCUUCAUCAUCUAGUUUCCUUACUUUGGAAGUUCCUGUUAUAUGUCCUUUCUUCCAAACUAUCCUGAUUAAUUGAUUUGAGACUUCUCUGAUCCUUUGUACUCUUCCUAGAUGAUGGGACCGCCCCCCUCCUGUUCCAUCCAUGUCACCUAAGAAACCCAUAUACACACCACAUCAUCGAUUUUAAAAGUCUUCAGUCUCUACUCAUGGAAAUAUAAGAGGAGGUGGAAGAAAAGAAACAAGUGCUGCUUCUUCCUUCCUUUCCAGUUUACCUCUUACUAGGAAGAUAGAAGGCCAGCAUAGCCCACAAGGGCUGCUAUGUCACCUUCAAAGGACAGUCACCCGCCUUUCUCCCAUGUAGCAACAUGGUCACUUUUCCAAAAAUAAAGGCAGGGAUUAAGAUUGGCUGUUCUUGGAACAACUGUUCUGGUUUAUUAAUACAUUUUUGUGGUUGCCCAGUUUACCCCCAGGCCUGGACCUUAAUUCUUCCACUAUGAUAUUGGAUAGCAUUAUAACCCCAGGAAACACUUUUCUUCCUACUAAAAUGAUGGUCCGCAGGUCCCUUGAGGUUUCUACAGAGGUGCUUGUCUGCAGGAGAUGCACACAGACAUGAAAUGGCAAUGAUGUACACACACAGACUCCCAACUCACAGUGACACAGCACCAUGGCCAGAGUGAGGUAUAUACAGAAAUAGCCUCUCACAUACUUACUGGCUCAUUUUGUAGCUGAGGGGUUUCCAAAGCUGGGACUAACUCCUUUCUCUCCCACUCCCUGAAGAUAUUCCUCCCCUUCACCAAAAGAGGGGGAAAAAACCAAGAUAUUGUUGGAUUCUAUCCUGUAAUAUGGGAAAGAUGCCUGUGGAUAUUAUUUCUCUGGACAUUCCUUUCCAUAGAUUUGAUUCUUGGUGGCAAAAGAAAGAAGUCUUAUGAGUCUUCUACCUCAGUGAUUAAAAAAAAAACCAUAACAACUAAACAAAAACCAAUUCUGCCAGACAUAAAUGUCAUCUGUUUGUAUUUAUGCGGUUUGCUCUGCCCAAUCGACCUUUCUGCCCAGGUUUAAUGAUGCCACUUAAAAAGCCAUUCACACGUCCCCUCUCCUUUCAGAGCUUUCAGGCUGAAAUUGAUUUCCUUAUUCAACCCCCUUCUCCCCCUUCCCACUUCAGCCCUCCCCUGAUUAUCUGGAAGUGUUGUCACUGGGCAAUAGGGUGGUUUUCUCUCUUUUUUUCUUUCUUCCUUUCUUUUUCUUUCUCUUUUUUUAUUGUCACAUCCAUUUAAAAAGUAGCGACAGUUCAGCUGUAACGGAUGCCACCUGCUUUUGGCUUGAGGAAGAGAAGCAUAAAAAUCAGCUCAUCAGCGUAGUGCUCUGCGUCCCGGCUGAGUGAAGGAACAAUGCUUCAGGCCAGCGGGGGAGGACUCAGUGUGGGGAGGACCAAGGCUGCCACCGACCGAGAACCCUGCCUUUGUUUUUGUUGGGAUCAGAGAAAAUAUAUGAGGGCUUUGUUCUCUUUCCCCCUCCCCUUGAGCCCUCUAAUAGCUCCUUAUGGCUACAUGUUGGUAUUAGAAAGAUCUUCCGCCUUGCCUAUGCCCACACCCUGCACACUCACAUGUCCCCCACCCUUUCCUGGCCUGAGGCACUAGGCUCAGAUUAUGAGCCGCCUUCUAGAAAGCUGCAGAUGUGAUUAUUUUUGUGUUGGCCCCCUCAGGUAGCAAUGAGGUGUUUGAAUAAGGUCAAUUGCAAUUUUGUUGGUAGAGGAUGUUGGAGCAGGUGGGGCUCUUAGGAUGGGGAAAAAAAUGCCCAGAGCAACUACAGUACGGGGGGAGUUGUUAAAUGCAUGACACUCCACAGCUAUUCGAUUUUCUGGUGGCCCUCCUACAAGCCACGCUGAUGAAUACCCUGUCCCCUGUGGCAGAGGAUGGGGAGAGGCGAGCCUGUCGCUCUGAGUAUUUGUGCUCUCUGAUUAGAUGAACCCCAGAGGGUGGGGGGCCACAAAUUGACUGGAGAAUAGGGUUCAACAGAUGCUGCGUCUCCUGAGCUGCUCUCAGGCCUCCCACCGCUUCUUUUCCUUCCCUUUGACCGAUGCUACCCGAGAAAAGCAAUCGUGCUCAGUUCCCAGCAUGACUGGUGCCCAGGGCAGAGGCUGCAACAUUUCCCGUCACAGGAAGCAACGUGACGGCGGCAGCAGUGGCAGCCUAAGAGCACCGAGGCAUGAAAACGGCAGCACUGCAGCAGGUUUUCAAGCUGGCAGCCUCCAGUCCCAUUUCUCUACCGCCGCACACACAUGAACUCAACCUGUCCCUCAACACACAUAGAGCCUGAGAGGUCAAGAGCAAACUCUCAGUCUGCACAAUCCCCUGUGGGGAAGCAGAACUCCUGCCCAUCCCUCCCAGCAGGGACUGUCAUUCAAACUGCUUCUCCCUGAUCCCUUACCUUGCUUUUCACCAUGAGCAAGAUUCAGGACUUCAUGUUCUUCCACACUGAGCUCUUUGCUUCUCCAGCAGAGGGUAAGGCUACCCCUGGUUGUCUGUGCUAAAACUUCAGGAUCACAUCCAGUCAGUCACCUGAACCUGUCAGCAAAAGCUUCGGAGGGUCUGACCCUCCCACUCUUCCUUGCAGCCACUGGUCUAAUUCAGGACCUCCUCGCUAUUUUUCAGUAGCUUUCUAACUCUUCGUCCUGCUGCUGGCCCCUCCCUCCCUUAAGCCACUGUACAGCUGGCCACUUGAGUUAGCUCUCUGAAGUUCUGUUCCUAACACCUACAUGAUAAAGACCCUUACUAGAACGUGCUUCAAACUUGGACGCCAGCUGUUUGCUUACUAUCUGACUCCCUGAUAGACUGUCCAUUCCAUUAAGGGCAAGGACCACUUUUGUUUGUUGUACACCCAGUGCCCAGCAUAGGACCUGGCACACAGUAAAUAUUCAAUAAAUGUUGAGUGAAUGCAUAAACAAUCUCAUCUCCCGCUUCUCCUGCAUAACCGCUGUGCCUCCGCACCUUGAAUUGUUCGUCAUUUACUGAAUAUGACCUACAGCUCCAUGCCAUUCCUAAUUCACUCACCCUUGCCCAAGAAGUGCUUCCUGGCCUGACUUAGUGAAGCUAUGUGCACUCAUCUUCUCCAGAGCAACCAGAGAUCACUGACCUAUCUUCAGCCAUUACCAGAAAACCUGCACGUGCCUGCAGCCCUGGCCCAGGCCCCAGACUGGGACCUGUACCAUGCCCAGACAUUUGAGCAACCUGACCUGGACAUUUGGUAAUACCCAACUUUGACAGAAUGGAGUAGUUUUCUGCCAAGCAUACCAAAGUACCCCUCACCGGGUGAAGGCCAGGAGAGCAUUGGCAUCUGGGACUCAGGUCUCUUCUACUCAGACUUCACUGGUUCAGGGAGAAGGGAGUCAGAAACUAAAUUAGCAACUAUCUCAGAUUCCUGGCAAGACACAUUUUAAGUGACCCUGAGGCAAAGUGGGUAGAUUUGUUUACUGGCUUUCACACUCAGGGUUACUUGGAAGGUCACAAUAUAGUUUGAAUUCACAACUAGCCCCUUUCUUCCUGCCACUCAGGAGUGUCACCUUCUGGACCAGGCGUGGUGGUCAUGCAGCUGAACGUCCCUAAUGGACCCCAGCCCCCCCAGAACCCAUCCAUGGUCCAGUGGAGUCACUGUAAAUAUUACAGCAUGGACCAGCGUGGGCAGAAGCCUGGAGACCUGUACAAUCCUGACAGCAGCCCCCAGGUGAGUCCUACAAACCAGUGUUGUCUUGGCAAGGAGAUGACCGCAUUCUUCUCCGGGAAUAAUCUUUGCCAUUGACUGAGCAGCCUCUUGUACAUGUCUGUCCCUGGGUGCUCUUCUGGGAGAGUCAUAAGAAAGAGAGGAGAGCCUCUUCUUUCAAGGAGCCUAAGAGCUAAGGGAGACAUACUUGAAAAUGCUAAGACAAUGCUUAAAGCACUGUGUCAAAGGUGGAUAUUAAAAUAAUAGGUAUUAAUUAGGGACGAAGGGGGCUGUUGAAAGGAGCAGCCGGGCUUUGGCAGAGUUCUGCAAGAGACGCUUUCUGAGUGAGGUGAAUUUUAAGCCAUAGGUAUAUCCAGAGGAUGUUUGGUGUGUAUAUAAUGUGUGCUCCUCUCUCCUACAGGCCAACACACAAAUGAGCAGCAGCCCUGUCACAUCUCCUACCCAGUCUCCAGCACCCUCUCCUGUCACCAGCCUCAGCAAUGUCUGCACAGGACUCAGUCCCCUUCCUGUCCUCACACAGUUCCCCCGGCCUGGGGGUCCAGCACAGGGUAAGGGGUGAGACUAGAGCUGGCUGCUGCCAAAUUCACCCUUCACAGCCCAUUCCCAAGUGAGGACAUCCAGAUGGUAGCAACAGGCAGGAAAACAGUGCACCUGGUCAUCCAACUCUGGGAGCCAACUCUUCCUUUAACAUCCCUGUUUAGACCCUGCCCCUCUUUAGUGCUGCCCAUAGUCAGCUUACUGCAGACCUCCUUUACAUAUUUAGUAUUUACUACCAAGUAAGGUAGGUGGGUGACUAUGAGCUGGGAAAAGAAACUCACAGAACUUUCUAAUGAACCAAAGACUUUAAAACAUUGGUACUGAGCCUAAGGACUAGGACUGUGGGGCUGUGUCAGAAACAGUAUGGUUUUAGAAGAGAGAACACUGGAGUUGGGUUAAAAAGACUUGGGUUUGAGUUCUAGUUCUACUACUAACUAGGUUUGUGAUGUUGAGCGUGUUACUUAAACUUGGAACCAGACCUCAAUUUCCUAAUCUAUAAAAUGGGGUUAAUCACACAUAGAAUGGAAAUAAUCUUACCCGUUUCUGCCUUGGCUGUCACAAGCAGUAUAAAAAUCAGAUGGGAGUAUGAUUUAAAAACUUUAAAGUGCUCUGAAAUCUAACAUUUAUCAACACAAAUAGGUAACACUAUGGUACUGGAUAUAUAUGAAGCAUUACUGGAAGUGCUUUGUGUGUCCUAUAUUCAUUUAGCCUACUCAGCAACACUAAUGAGAUGAAAACAUACCCAACCUAUCAUUUCCAGUAACAGAGCCAGGAUUUGAACCUAGACAGUUUGACACCAAGCCUGUAAUCUUAUCCACUACACUAUAUUGCCACGCAGUGCGAAUCCAAAACUUGAGCCCUGGGUUUGGGUAGGAUAAUCUGUAUAAGAAAUUAGGGGUACCUGGCUGGCUGAGACGGUAGAGCGUGCGACUCUUGAUCUCAAGGUCGUGAGUUCAAGCCCCAUUUGCGGCAUAGAAAUUACCUAAGAGAAAGAAAGAAAAAGAGAAAGAAAGAAAGGGAGGGAGGGAGGCAGGGAGGGAGAAAGGAAGGGAGGGAGAGAGGGAGAGAGGAAGGAAGGAAGGAAGAAAGAAAUGAAAGAAACAUAUUCAUAAGGGUCUAUAGAUUUUCUCCUGGGCCUUUUGUCUGCAGUGGACAGAGCCCUUCUUUAAGAAUAAAGGAACCUAAAAGCCCCAUUUGCAUGAGAUACACAGCUGAGGGCCAAGCAGUUUAGGCAGAGAGACAACUCUUCAGUCAGUCACAUGGGCACUCUUAUCAUAGAAGAAGUAAGAAUAGCAUGCAUUGUUGCCAUCUAUCUCCAAAGCCCUCUAAAGUUUCCUAAAAGUCAUACCAUGAAGUUCUAACUCCCAGAAAACCAUCUGCUCUUCCUCCCUAGGUGAUGGGCGCUACUCCCUCUUGGGCCAGCCAUUACAGUACAAUCUGUCCAUCUGCCCUCCCUUGCUCCAUGGCCAGUCGACGUACACGGUACAUCAGGUGAGGGUGUCCACCGUCAGCCUGAGGACCG